Molecule: unclassified non-coding RNA, 376 nt
Filed under: soil metagenome
Description: partial contains 5.8S ribosomal RNA, internal transcribed spacer 2, and large subunit ribosomal RNA
Rfam family: 5.8S ribosomal RNA (bases 1-120)
Source: RNAcentral
GAUGAAGAACGCAGUGAAAUGCGAUAAGUAAUGUGAAUUGCAGAAUUCAGUGAAUCAUCGAAUCUUUGAACGCAUCUUGCGCUCCUUGGUAUUCUGAGGAGCAUGCCUGUUUGUGUGUCAUUAAAUUCUCAACUACACUGACUUUGAAUUGGUGUGGCUUGGAUUUGGGGGGAAAAUUGUUGUGGGCUUUUUGUAUAGUCUGCUCCCCUGAAAUUGAUUAGCGGUACCUUUGUGGAACUGUCUACAGGUGUGAUAAUUAUCUACAUCUUAGACAUCUGCUGGAAUGCUGCUCUCUAAACCUUACUUGUAUUGACAAUCUUGACCUCAAAUCAGGUAGGACUACCCGCUGAACUUAAGCAUAUCAAUAAGCGGAGGA